UAGAAAAGAAACUAAUAUACAGCUUAACAGAAUUCUCUAGCCAUAAAAUACAUUUUAAAGACUGCAACUCUUCUUUAUGUAUUCGCAAAGUGUCUGCAAAUUGCAUGUGUAAACGAAUUUGGUAAUGUCAACAACUAUGCUUGUUGUGUAGCGCUAAACACUUCCAGUGAAGAAUGAAAUGAUCUUUUUCUUAUCUAAAAAUUAAUUUUGCACUAGAUGAUUUCGUUUCUUAUUCCAAAAAAAAUAAGCAAUUUGUUUGGGCAAUGUUAAAGCUUUUACUAUACUAGAUAACGGCCUGCAUCCUAGUCGAGGUCGCAUUUACAGAGCACGGUUAACUUUUCAAGAAUAAUCCUUUGAAUAAAUUGAAAUUAAAAAACACCAUAUACUUCAUCAGCCAUCACUCGUUC
This is a non-coding RNA of Schizosaccharomyces pombe (fission yeast), 407 nucleotides long. The record is from the annotation of a GenBank genome assembly. NCBI's taxonomy places the organism in Eukaryota, Fungi, Ascomycota, Schizosaccharomycetes, Schizosaccharomycetales, Schizosaccharomycetaceae.